RNAcentral lists this transfer RNA (67 nucleotides) under Marmota monax (woodchuck). Its description in RNAcentral is "tRNA.Ala". The record is from RNAcentral. Lineage: Eukaryota; Metazoa; Chordata; Mammalia; Rodentia; Sciuridae.
GGACUGUGGCUCAGCGGUAGAGCGCUCGCCUAGCACGGGCCAGACCUGGGUUCCAUCCUCAGCACCA